AGCAGCCGCGGUAAUUCCAGCUCCAAUAGCGUAUAUUAAAGUUGUUGCAGUUAAAAAGCUCGUAGUUGAAUUUCGGGGUCAAUAGGUUGGUCGUGCCAAUGGUAUGUACUGGCUUUAUUGAUUCCUACCUCUUGACGAACUGUGAUGCCAUUAAUUUGGUGUUGCAGGAAAUCAGGACUGUUACCUUGAAAAAAUUAGAGUGUUUAAAGCAGGCUUACGCUUGAAUACAUUAGCAUGGAAUAAUGAAAUAGGACGUUUGAACCUAUUUUGUUGGUUUCUAGGAUCGACGUAAUGAUUAAUAGGGAUAGUUGGGGGCAUUAGUAUUCAAUUGCCAGAGGUGAAAUUCUUGGAUUUAUUGAAGACUAACUACUGCGAAAGCAUUUGCCAAGGAUGUUUUCAUUAAUCAAGAACGAAAGUUAGGGGAUCGAAGACGAUCAGAUACCGUCGUAGUCUUAACCAUAAACUAUGCCGACUAGGGAUCGGAUGAUGUUAAUUUUUAAUGACUCAUUCGGCGCCUUAA
This 520-nucleotide ribosomal RNA is filed under the name uncultured Glomus. RNAcentral's name for it is "SSU rRNA". It matches the Rfam family "Eukaryotic small subunit ribosomal RNA", at positions 569 to 1091 of the family's 1831-position model. The record is from RNAcentral. Lineage: Eukaryota; Fungi; Glomeromycota; Glomeromycetes; Glomerales; Glomeraceae.